CCCGAGUGCUUGCACUCAAUUGGAAAGAGGAGUGGCGGACGGGUGAGUAACACGUGGGUAACCUACCCAUCAGAGGGGGAUAACACUUGGAAACAGGUGCUAAUACCGCAUAACAGUUUAUGCCGCAUGGCAUAAGAGUGAAAGGCGCUUUCGGGUGUCGCUGAUGGAUGGACCCGCGGUGCAUUAGCUAGUUGGUGAGGUAACGGCUCACCAAGGCCACGAUGCAUAGCCGACCUGAGAGGGUGAUCGGCCACACUGGGACUGAGACACGGCCCAGACUCCUACGGGAGGCAGCAGUAGGGAAUCUUCGGCAAUGGACGAAAGUCUGACCGAGCAAAGCCGCGUGAGUGAAGAAGGUUUUCGGAUCGUAAAACUCUGUUGUUAGAGAAGAACAAGGACGUUAGUAACUGAACGUCCCCUGACGGUAUCUAACCAGAAAGCCACGGCUAACUACGUGCCAGCAGCCGCGGUAAUACGUAGGUGGCAAGCGUUGUCCGGAUUUAUUGGGCGUAAAGCGAGCGCAGGCGGUUUCUUAAGUCUGAUGUGAAAGCCCCCGGCUCAACCGGGGAGGGUCAUUGGAAACUGGGAGACUUGAGUGCAGAAGAGGAGAGUGGAAUUCCAUGUGUAGCGGUGAAAUGCGUAGAUAUAUGGAGGAACACCAGUGGCGAAGGCGGCUCUCUGGUCUGU
RNAcentral lists this ribosomal RNA (687 nucleotides) under uncultured Bacilli bacterium. RNAcentral's name for it is "bacterial SSU rRNA". It matches the Rfam family "Bacterial small subunit ribosomal RNA", at positions 69 to 737 of the family's 1533-position model. The record is from RNAcentral. Lineage: Bacteria; Bacillati; Bacillota; Bacilli.